GGGUUGUGAGGUUAAGCGACUAAGCGUACACGGUGGAUGCCCUGGCAGUCAGAGGCGAUGAAGGGCGUGCUAAUCUGCGAUAAGCGCCGGUAAGGUGAUAUGAACCGUUAUAACCGGCGAUACCCGAAUGGGGAAACCCAGUGUGAUUCGUCACACUAUCAUUAACUGAAUCCAUAGGUUAAUGAGGCGAACCGGGGGAACUGAAACAUCUAAGUACCCCGAGGAAAAGAAAUCAACCGAGAUUCCCCCAGUAGCGGCGAGCGAACGGGGAGGAGCCCAGAGCCUGAAUCAGCAUGUGUGUUAGUGGAAGCGUCUGGAAAGGCGCGCGAUACAGGGUGACAGCCCCGUACACAAAAGCGCAUGUGCUGUGAGCUCGAUGAGUAGGGCGGGACACGUGGUAUCCUGUCUGAAUAUGGGGGGACCAUCCUCCAAGGCUAAAUACUCCUGACUGACCGAUAGUGAACCAGUACCGUGAGGGAAAGGCGAAAAGAACCCCGGCGAGGGGAGUGAAAAAGAACCUGAAACCGUGUACGUACAAGCAGUGGGAGCACAGGUUUACCUGUGUGACUGCGUACCUUUUGUAUAAUGGGUCAGCGACUUAUAUUCUGUAGCAAGGUUAACCGAAUAGGGGAGCCGGAGGGAAACCGAGUCUUAACCGGGCGUUAAGUUGCAGGGUAUAGACCCGAAACCCGGUGAUCUAGCCAUGGGCAGGUUGAAGGUUGGGUAACACUAACUGGAGGACCGAACCGACUAAUGUUGAAAAAUUAGCGGAUGACCUGUGGCUGGGGGUGAAAGGCCAAUCAAACCGGGAGAUAGCUGGUUCUCCCCGAAAGCUAUUUAGGUAGCGCCUCGUGAAUUCAUCUCCGGGGGUAGAGCACUGUUUCGGCUAGGGGGCCAUCCCGGCUUACCAACCCGAUGCAAACUGCGAAUACCGGAGAAUGUUAUCACGGGAGACACACGGCGGGUGCUAACGUCCGUCGUGAAGAGGGAAACAACCCAGACCGCCAGCUAAGGUCCCAAAGUCAUGGUUAAGUGGGAAACGAUGUGGGAAGGCCCAGACAGCCAGGAUGUUGGCUUAGAAGCAGCCAUCAUUUAAAGAAAGCGUAAUAGCUCACUGGUCGAGUCGGCCUGCGCGGAAGAUGUAACGGGGCUAAACCAUG
Molecule: ribosomal RNA, 1160 nt
Filed under: Salmonella enterica subsp. enterica serovar Enteritidis
Lineage: Bacteria; Pseudomonadati; Pseudomonadota; Gammaproteobacteria; Enterobacterales; Enterobacteriaceae
Description: partial 23S ribosomal RNA
Rfam family: Bacterial large subunit ribosomal RNA
Source: RNAcentral